GUCAUACCAAUAAUUGUUAUUUCCACCAAUAUAUUCACCCUCAUAAUCUCCAACUGUAAUACUGUGCCCUCACAGCUUUCAGCACACAAUUACCCUCAUUCCAAUCACUGGAAUUCUUCACACAGAACUGCCAUUGACAUUAUGGUGUUUCACACAAACACAAAUUCAUUCCUUCUACUCAACUACAAUUAGAUUUCAGCAUUCAAUCUUUCUUCUUUUCAAAUAAUACCAAUCACAUUUCUAUUCCAUAAUUCACUUCACAAUAUUCAGAAAGUCUCAAUCCUCUUAUUUAAAGAAAAUAACAAACAAAAGAAAAGAGAUAGCACCAAGCUUACCUCAGCUCACACUAUCAUAGCGAUGGCCCUCAGUUCAUGACUAUUACAGUCUAGUACCUUAAUUAACUUCUACAACUCCUAUAUAUUUUUUCUUGAUUCUCUAGAUUCUAAUCGUAAUUCUAUAAUUAACCACUUUUAAGAACUAAAUCACUCAUCUAUCUUCCUGAAUUUCUUAUUAUAUGGACUAUUAAUAUAUUUUAUCAAUAUCUUUCAAAAACGAAUUAAUAUCUAUUUUAUAUAGCCCCACU
This 583-nucleotide long non-coding RNA is filed under the name Physcomitrium patens. RNAcentral's name for it is "long non-coding RNA (PPAT_LNC014374)". The record is from RNAcentral. Lineage: Eukaryota; Viridiplantae; Streptophyta; Bryopsida; Funariales; Funariaceae.